UCGAGAAUAUUCGACAAUGGAGGAAACUCUGAUCGAGCGACGCCGCGUGCAGGAUGAAGGUCUUAGGAUUGUAAACUGCUUUUCCACCUCAAAAAGUUAUUGAUUAAGGUGGGAAUAAGAAGCUGCAAACUUCGUGCCAGCAGCAGCGGUAAUACGAAGGCUUCAAGCGUUAUCCGGAUUUAUUGGGCGUAAAGAGAGCGCAGGUGGUCUCGCACGUCUGUUGUUAAAUGUCACCGCUUAACGGUGUCACCGCAAUGGAUACGACGAGACUAGAGCGUGUAAGAGGUAACUAGAAUUCACGGUGUAGGGGUGAAAUCCGUUGAUAUCGUGGAGAAUACCAAAGGCGAAGGCAUGUUACUGGUACACUGCUGACACUCAGGCUCGAAAGCGUGGGGAGCAA
RNAcentral lists this ribosomal RNA (400 nucleotides) under uncultured bacterium. Its description in RNAcentral is "bacterial SSU rRNA". It matches the Rfam family "Bacterial small subunit ribosomal RNA", at positions 355 to 771 of the family's 1533-position model. The record is from RNAcentral.